GGCUCAGGAUGAACGCUAGCGGCAGGCUUAACACAUGCAAGUCGAGGGGCAGCAUGUCCGAACUUUCGGGUUUGGAUGAUGGCGACCGGCGCAAGGGUGCGUAACGCGUGAGCAACUUGCCCGUUUCAGGGGGAUAACCGGUGGAAACGCCGACUAAUACCCCAUAGCAUCACAAGGAGGCAUCUCCAUGUGAUUAAAGAAUUUCGGAAACGGAUAGGCUCGCGUGACAUUAGCUAGAUGGCGGGGUAACGGCCCACCAUGGCGACGAUGUCUAGGGGUUCUGAGAGGAAGGUCCCCCACACUGGAACUGAGACACGGUCCAGACUCCUACGGGAGGCAGCAGUGAGGAAUAUUGGUCAAUGGUCAGACGACUGAACCAGCCAUGCCGCGUGAAGGUCACGGCCCUAUGGGUCUUAAACUUCUUUUGUAAGGGAGCAAUAAGGGUCACGUGUGGUCCGAUGAGAGUACCUUACGAAUAAGCAUCGGCUAACUCCGUG
This 497-nucleotide ribosomal RNA is filed under the name uncultured bacterium. RNAcentral describes it as "bacterial SSU rRNA". It matches the Rfam family "Bacterial small subunit ribosomal RNA", at positions 21 to 507 of the family's 1533-position model. The record is from RNAcentral.